GAAGCGUCUGGAAAGACGCGCGAUACAGGGUGACAGCCCCGUACACAAAAAUGCACAUGCUGUGAGCUCGAUGAGUAGGGCGGGACACGUGGUAUCCUGUCUGAAUAUGGGGGGACCAUCCUCCAAGGCUAAAUACUCCUGACUGACCGAUAGUGAACCAGUACCGUGAGGGAAAGGCGAAAAGAACCCCGGCGAGGGGAGUGAAAAAGAACCUGAAACCGUGUACGUACAAGCAGUGGGAGCACGCUUAGGCGUGUGACUGCGUACCUUUUGUAUAAUGGGUCAGCGACUUAUAUUCUGUAGCAAGGUUAACCGAAUAGGGGAGCCGAAGGGAAACCGAGUCUUAACUGGGCGUUAAGUUGCAGGGUAUAGACCCGAAACCCGGUGAUCUAGCCAUGGGCAGGUUGAAGGUUGGGUAACACUAACUGGAGGACCGAACCGACUAAUGUUGAAAAAUUAGCGGAUGACUUGUGGCUGGGGGUGAAAGGCCAAUCAAACCGGGAGAUAGCUGGUUCUCCCCGAAAGCUAUUUAGGUAGCGCCUCGUGAAUUCAUCUCCGGGGGUAGAGCACUGUUUCGGCAAGGGGGUCAUCCCGACUUACCAACCCGAUGCAAACUGCGAAUACCGGAGAAUGUUAUCACGGGAGACACACGGCGGGUGCUAACGUCCGUCGUGAAGAGGGAAACAACCCAGACCGCCAGCUAAGGUCCCAAAGUCAUGGUUAAGUGGGAAACGAUGUGGGAAGGCCCAGACAGCCAGGAUGUUGGCUUAGAAGCAGCCAUCAUUUAAAGAAAGCGUAAUAGCUCACUGGUCGAGUCGGCCUGCGCGGAAGAUGUAACGGGGCUAAACCAUGCAC
Molecule: ribosomal RNA, 855 nt
Filed under: Escherichia coli
Lineage: Bacteria; Pseudomonadati; Pseudomonadota; Gammaproteobacteria; Enterobacterales; Enterobacteriaceae
Description: partial 23S ribosomal RNA
Rfam family: Bacterial large subunit ribosomal RNA
Source: RNAcentral